ACGGCUCAGUAACACGUGGAUAACAUGCCCUAAGGAGGGGGAUAAUCUCGGGAAACUGAGGGUAAUACCCCAUAGGUCUAUUUUGCUGGAAUGCUAAUAGGCCGAAAACUCCGGUGCCUUAGGAUUGGUCUGCGGUCUAUCAGGCUGUAGUGGGUGUAAUGGACCCACUAGCCCGUGACGGAUAUGGGCCUUGAGAGAGGGAGCCCAGAGAAGGACUCUGAGACAUGAGUCCAGGCCCUACGGGGCGCAGCAGUCGCGAAAACUUCGCAAUGGGGGCAACCCCGACGAGGGAAUUCCAAGUGCUAGCACUUUGUGUUAGCUGUUCUUCUGUCUAAAAAACAGGAGGAGUAAGGGGCGGGUAAGACGGGUGCCAGCCGCCGCGGUAAUACCCGCGCCCCAAGUGGUGGUCGAUAUUAUUGAGCCUAAAGCGUCCGUAGCCGGUCUUCUAAAUCCUUGGGUAAAUCGGGCAGCUUAACUGUCCGAAGUCCGGGGAGACUGGGAGACUUGGGACCGGGAGAGGUCAGAGGUACUUCUGGGGUAGGGGUAAAAUCCUGUAAUCCUGGAAGGACCACCGGUGGCGAAGGCGUCUGACUAGAACGGAUCCGACGGUGAGGGACGAAGCCCUGGGGCGCAAACGGGAUUAGAUACCCCGGUAGUCCAGGGUGUAAACGCUGCGGGCUUGGUGUUGGGGGUCCUUAGUGGGCGCCCAGUGCCGGAGAGAAGUUGUUAAGCCUGCUGCUUGGGGAGUAUGUCCGCAAGGAUGAAACUUAAAGGAAUUGGCGGGGGAGCAC
Molecule: ribosomal RNA, 791 nt
Filed under: uncultured archaeon
Lineage: Archaea
Description: bacterial SSU rRNA
Rfam family: Archaeal small subunit ribosomal RNA
Source: RNAcentral